GGUAAGGUGGUCUGAGAGUUAAGCGGUGGAUUGUAACCCCAUGAACAGAGGUUUAAACCCUCUCCUUAUCAA
RNAcentral lists this transfer RNA (72 nucleotides) under Coregonus ussuriensis (Amur whitefish). RNAcentral describes it as "tRNA-Tyr". It matches the Rfam family "tRNA". Rfam says of the family: Transfer RNA (tRNA) molecules are approximately 80 nucleotides in length. Their secondary structure includes four short double-helical elements and three loops (D, anti-codon, and T loops). Further hydrogen bonds mediate the characteristic L-shaped molecular structure. tRNAs have two regions of fundamental functional importance: the anti-codon, which is responsible for specific mRNA codon recognition, and the 3' end, to which the tRNAs corresponding amino acid is attached (by aminoacyl-tRNA synthetases). tRNAs cope with the degeneracy of the genetic code in two manners: having more than one tRNA (with a specific anti-codon) for a particular amino acid; and 'wobble' base-pairing, i.e. permitting non-standard base-pairing at the 3rd anti-codon position. The record is from RNAcentral. Lineage: Eukaryota; Metazoa; Chordata; Actinopteri; Salmoniformes; Salmonidae.